CAUCUCAUACCCAAGGCUAGCAUGGGCUGCAGGCUGCUCUGCUGUGCGGUUCUCUGUCUCCUGGGAGCAGUUCCCAUAGACACUGAAGUUACCCAGACACCAAAACACCUGGUCAUGGGAAUGACAAAUAAGAAGUCUUUGGAAUGUGAACAACAUAUGGGGCACAAUGCUAUGUAUUGGUACAAGCAGAAAGCGAAGAAGCCGCCGGAGCUCAUGUUUGUCUACAAUUAUGAGAAACUCUCUAUAAAUGAAAGUGUGCCCACUCGCUUCUCACCUGAAUGCCCCAAGAGCUCUCUCUUAAACCUUCACCUACACGCCCUGCAGCCAGAAGACUCGGCCCUGUAUCUCUGCGCCAGCAGCCAAGACACAGCCUUGCAGAGUCACUGCUUUCCUGUGCAGAAACCUUCAGGGCCUGCCAGGAAGCUGUGGGGGCCACGGACGGCUCGGGUGAACAUUUCCUGCAAGAGCCCCGACAGAAGCUUCAGAACAUCCUGGCACCUGCUAAUUCAUCCAUGUGGCAAUGUUACAUCCUAUGCACAUAUUUAGAGUGUGGGUUUUCUUUUGCCUGAGUGUGACUCUGCCCCGUCAACUGAUUUAAAAAAGAUAAACAUAUUCAGAUCUAGUUUUUUAAAAAUGUUUUUUUUUUUUUAAAUCAUGAAAUAGGCCGGGCAUGGUGGCUCAUGCCUGUAAUCCCAGCACUUUGGGAGGCCAAGACGGGCAGAUCAUGAGGUCAGGAGUUUGCGACCAGCCUGGCCAAUAUGGUGAAACCCCGUCUCUACUAAAAAUACAAAAAUUAGCUGGGCGUGGUGGCAUAUGCCUGUAAUCCCAGCUACUCAGGAGGCAGGAGAGUCACUUGAACUCGGGAGGUGGAGGUUGCGGUGAGCCGAGACCGUGACAUUGCACUCCAGUCUGGGCGACAGAGUAAGAUUCUGUCUCAAAAAAAAAAAAAAAAAAAAAAAUCCUGAAAUAAAGCAAGCAUGCUGUAAGGAUUGUUUAGCUUAAAAUUUUAUAAGAACCCUCUAAACAAUCACCUGUGUCACCACAGAGUCACACCCUGCACUGGGUCAGACACU
Molecule: non-coding RNA, 1073 nt
Organism: Symphalangus syndactylus (siamang)
Lineage: Eukaryota; Metazoa; Chordata; Mammalia; Primates; Hylobatidae
Source: the annotation of a RefSeq genome assembly